GGCCCAGGGUUAGGCUUGUUUUAGUGCCAGGGCCCAGGGUUAGGGUUGUUUUAGGGUCAGGGCCAGGGUCCAGGUUUAGGGUUGUUUUAGGGUCAGGGCCAGGGCCCAGGUUUAGGAUUGUUUUAGGGUCAGGGCCAGGGCCCAGGUUUACGGUUGUUUUAGGGUCAUGGCCAGGGCCAGGGUUAGGGUUGUUUUUGGGUCAGGGCCAGGGCCCAGGUUUAGGGUUGUUUUAGGGUCAGGGCCAGGGCCCAGGGUUAGGGUUGUUUUAGGGUCAGGGCCCGGGCCCAGGUUUAGGGUUGUUUUAGGGUCAGGGCCAGGGCCCAGGGUUAGGGUUGUUUUAGGGUCAGGGCCCGGGCCCAGGGUUAGGGUUGUUUUAGGGUCAGGGCCAGGGCCCAGUGUUAGGGUUCUUUUAGCGUCAGGGCCAGGGCCCAGGGUUAGGGUUGUUUUAGGGUCAGGGCCAGGGCCGAGAGUUAGGCUUGUUUUAGGGUCAGGGCCAAGGCCCAGGGUUAGGGUUGUUUUAGGGAAAGGGCCAGGGCCCAGGGUUAGGAUUGUUUUAGGGUCAGGGCCAGGGCCCAGGUUUAGGCAUGUUUCAGGUUCAGGUCCAGGGCCAGGGUUAGGGUUGUUUUAGGUUCACGGCCGGGGCCCAGUGUUAGGGUUGUUUUAGGGUCAGGUCCGGGGCCCAGUGUUAGGGUUGCUUUAGGGUCAGGGCCGGGGCCCAGGUUUAGGGUUGUUUAAGGUCAGGGCCGGGACCCAGGUUUGGGGUUUUAGGCUCAGGGCCAGGGCCUAGUGUUAGGGUAUUAGUGUCAGGGCCCAGGGUUAGGGUUUUAGGGUCAGGGCCCAGGGUUAGGGUUUUAGGGUCAGGGCCCAGGGUUAGGGUGAUUUCCAGGAAGUGACCUCACAAUGACUCAAGCUACCACUUACUGUUGAUUGUGACGAAAUGCCAGCUGAGGCACAUGCCUUGGGAGCUAAGUGGUUGCUGCCCUUGACUACUAUGAAGACUGGUGUGGGAAGGGUCGCUUUGCAUGCACUUGAGCUGGGGUCCCCAACCCCUGAGCCAUGGAGCCGUAAGGAGCCACACAGCAGGUGAGUGGUGUCGAGUGAGGGAGUGAGGGAAGCUUCGUCUGUAUUUACAGCCACUCCCCUUUGCUCACAUUCCCGCCUGAGCUCCACCUUCUCAGAUGAGCAGCAGCAUUAGAUUCUCAUAGGAGAACGCACCCUGUUGUGAACCGUGCAUGUGAGGGAUCUAGGUUGCGCUGUGCUUAUGAGAAUCUAAUACCUAUUGAUCUGUCACUUUCUCCCAUCACGCUCAGGUGGGACCAUCCAGUUUCAGGAAAACAAGCUUAACACGCCCACUGAUUCUACAUUAUGCUCCUUCCUCCCGGCAGCCUCGCCAGGCCCAGAACUCUCUCCAGUCAGCCUCUACAGACCAAGCUCAUGACUCACAAUGGCCUAUUUAGGCCCAUACCCUACCUCACGGCAGUCUCCGCAGAUGAGCCUACUGCCUCACAACAGCCUCCACAGGCACAGCUCCAUCGUUACAAUGGCCUCUUUAGACCCAGCUCCUGCCGCCCAGCCUUCUCUCCAGGCCCUGAACUUUCUCCGUAAGUUGAGGUAGCUGGGACUGUAGGUAUACAUGACGAUACUUGUCUACUUUUUAAAUUGUUUUGCAGACAUGGGGUCUCACUUUGUUGGCCAGGCUGGUGUCAAACUAAUGGCCUCAAGUGACCCUUCCACCCCUGCCUCCCAUCCUCGAGGUAUGUGCCACCACAAGGGGCACUUGUUCAAUUUUCUAAAGAAAAAAUUUCUAAAGUAAGGCUGUGGGAUGAUGGCAGGAAGAUAAAAGAAAAACAGAAGAAUAAGUUAAAAUGACUUAUUCACACAUAUUCUUUUGACAGCAGGAAGAACUUUUAGUAUAUACAUUCCUUACAAACAAACAAACGGCAGAUAAACAAUGUUGUAUAGGAACUUCAACACACACUGUACAAUAUUCCCACUUUGCUGACAUAAGUUAUGGAAAUUUCGUGGUUUACUUGAGUGUCGCUACCAGUAUUUUGCUUCUCUGAUGAUUUUUAUCAACUUCCUCAUCUGUUAACUUCUCUCCAAGGUAUGUCAUGUCACGACAUGCUGCCGCUGCACGAACACGGCCAGUGUCUUCCUAUUAAACAUGUAGAAUGCUUUCCUAA
Long non-coding RNA from Gorilla gorilla gorilla (western lowland gorilla), 2183 nucleotides. RefSeq lists it as uncharacterized. The transcript is spliced from 2 exons. NCBI's taxonomy places the organism in Eukaryota, Metazoa, Chordata, Mammalia, Primates, Hominidae. The record is from RefSeq and is a predicted model, not a curated record.